CCUACGGGUGGCAGCAGUGGGGAAUAUUGGACAAUGGGCGAAAGCCUGAUCCAGCCAUGCCGCGUGUGUGAAGAAGGCCUUCGGGUUGUAAAGCACUUUCAGUGGGGAAGAAAGCCUUGGGGCUAAUACCCUCGAGGAAGGACAUCACCCACAGAAGAAGCACCGGCUAACUCCGUGCCAGCAGCCGCGGUAAUACGGAGGGUGCGAGCGUCAAUCGGAAUUACUGGGCGUAAAGCGCGCGUAGGCGGUCUGAUAAGCCGGUUGUGAAAGCCCCGGGCUCAACCUGGGAACGGCAUCCGGAACUGUCAGGCUAGAGUGCAGGAGAGGAAGGGAGAAUUCCCGGUGUAGCGGUGAAAUGCGUAGAGAUCGGGAGGAAUACCAGUGGCGAAGGCGGCCUUCUGGACUGACACUGACGCUGAGGUGCGAAAGCGUGGGUAGCAAACAGGAUUAGAUACCCCUGUAGUC
This 465-nucleotide ribosomal RNA is filed under the name Vreelandella stevensii. RNAcentral describes it as "partial 16S ribosomal RNA". It matches the Rfam family "Bacterial small subunit ribosomal RNA", at positions 338 to 795 of the family's 1533-position model. Lineage: Bacteria; Pseudomonadati; Pseudomonadota; Gammaproteobacteria; Oceanospirillales; Halomonadaceae. The record is from RNAcentral.